This 700-nucleotide ribosomal RNA is filed under the name uncultured bacterium. RNAcentral's name for it is "bacterial SSU rRNA". It matches the Rfam family "Bacterial small subunit ribosomal RNA", at positions 8 to 681 of the family's 1533-position model. The record is from RNAcentral.
AGAGUUUGAUCAUGGCUCAGAAUGAACGCUGGCGGCGUGCUUAACACAUGCAAGUCGUACGAGAACGCUUCAGCUUGCUGAAGCUAGUAAAGUGGCGUACGGGUGAGUAACGCGUGGGUAAUCUACCUUCGAAUUGGGGAUAACGUUGCGAAAGUGACGCUAAUACCGGAUAAUAUCAUAGAGACCUUGGUUUUUAUGAUCAAAGAUGGCCUCUCCUUGGAAGCUAUUGUUUGGAGAUGAGUCCGCGUUAGAUUAGCUUGUUGGUGGGGUAAUGGCCUACCAAGGCGACGAUCUAUAGCUGGUCUGAGAGGACGAUCAGCCACACUGGGACUGAGACACGGCCCAGACUCCUACGGGAGGCAGCAGUGAGGAAUUUUGCGCAAUGGGGGAAACCCUGACGCAGCAACGCCGUGUGAGUGAAGAAGGCCUUCGGGUUGUAAAACUCUGUCAAGCGGGAAAAACAUUUUGCGGUGAAUAGCCGCAGAAUCUGAUGGUACCGCUGGAGGAAGCACCGGCUAACUCCGUGCCAGCAGCCGCGGUAAUACGGAGGGUGCAAGCGUUGUUCGGAAUUACUGGGCGUAAAGCGCGUGCAGGCGGUUUGGCAAGUCAGAUGUGAAAGCCCUGGGCUCAACCCAGGAAGUGCAUUUGAAACUGCCAAUCUUGAGUAUGGGAGAGGAGAGUGGAAUUCCCAGUGUAGAGG